CCUGAACGCUGGCGGCGUGGCUAAGACAUGCAAGUCGUACGGAGGUAGCAAUACCUCAGUGGCGAACGGGUGAGUAAUGUAUCGCUAACGUGCCCCGGACUCUGGGAUAGCCGCCCGAAAGGGCGGGUAAUACCAGAUGACAUACCCUCUCCGCAUGGUGAGGGUCUCAAAGGUCCGCCGGUCUGGGAGCGGGCGAUAUCGUAUCAGCUAGUUGGUGAGGUAACGGCNCACCAAGGCGACGACGCGUAGCCGGACUGAGAGGUUGGCCGGCCACAUUGGGACUGAGACACUGCCCAGACUCCUACGGGGGGCGUGCAGUAACGAAUCUUCCGCAAUGCACGAAAGUAGUGACGGAGCGACG
This 361-nucleotide ribosomal RNA is filed under the name uncultured bacterium. Its description in RNAcentral is "bacterial SSU rRNA". It matches the Rfam family "Bacterial small subunit ribosomal RNA", at positions 30 to 396 of the family's 1533-position model. The record is from RNAcentral.